CAGUAGCCGCGGUAAUACGUAGGGGACAAGCGUUAUCCGGAAUAACUGGGCGUAAAGGGUGCGCAGGUGGUUUAACAAGUUAGUGGUGAAAGGCAUAGGCUCAACCAAUGUAAGCCAUUAAAACUGUUUAACUUGAGUGCAGGAGAGGAAAGUGGAAUUCCUAGUGUAGCGGUGAAAUGCGUAGAUAUUAGGAGGAAUACCAGUGGCGAAGGCGACUUUCUGGACUGCAACUGACACUGAGGCACGAAAGCGUGGGGAGCAAACAGGAUUAGAUACCCCCGUAGUCCCUGUCUCUUAUACA
Molecule: ribosomal RNA, 301 nt
Filed under: uncultured bacterium
Lineage: Bacteria
Description: partial 16S ribosomal RNA
Rfam family: Bacterial small subunit ribosomal RNA
Source: RNAcentral